RNAcentral lists this ribosomal RNA (484 nucleotides) under uncultured bacterium. RNAcentral's name for it is "partial 16S ribosomal RNA". It matches the Rfam family "Bacterial small subunit ribosomal RNA", at positions 899 to 1397 of the family's 1533-position model. The record is from RNAcentral.
ACUCAAAUGAAUUGACGGGGGAGCGCACAACCGGUGGAGCAUGUUGUUUAAUUCGAUACGAAGCGAAAAACCUUACCCAGAUUUGACAUGUACCUGCACGGUUAUGGAAACAUAGCCUUCUUCGAGAGUGGUACACAGGUGAUGCAUGGCUGUCGUCAGCUCGUGUCGUGAGACGUCCGCUUAAGUGCGGUAACGAGCGCAACCCUUAUCCCGUGUUACAUUUCACGGGAGACGGUCCCGCUUUCCAGCGGGAAGGAAGGAGAGGACGACGUCAAGUCAGCACGUCCCUUACAUCUGGGGCCACAAACAUCCUACAAUGGAGCCGACAACAGGUUGCGACGGCGAAAGCCCGAGCCAAUCCUAAAAACGGCCCCUCAGUUCAGAUUGAGGGCUGCAAUUCGCCCUCAUGAAGUCGGAAUCGGUAGUAAUCGCAAAUCAGCAGGUUGCGGUGAAUACGUUCUCGCUCCUUGUACACACCGCCCGU